This 779-nucleotide ribosomal RNA is filed under the name Aquimarina sp. AU466_Ted3_MB20SE. RNAcentral's name for it is "bacterial SSU rRNA". It matches the Rfam family "Bacterial small subunit ribosomal RNA", at positions 56 to 828 of the family's 1533-position model. Lineage: Bacteria; Pseudomonadati; Bacteroidota; Flavobacteriia; Flavobacteriales; Flavobacteriaceae. The record is from RNAcentral.
UGCAAGUCGAGGGGUAACAGAGAGUGCUUGCACUUUGCUGACGACCGGCGCACGGGUGCGUAACGCGUAUAGAAUCUACCUUUUAGUGAGGGAUAGCCCAGAGAAAUUUGGAUUAAUACCUCAUAGUAUCAAUGAAUAGCAUUAUUUAUUGAUUAAAGAUUUAUUGCUAAAAGAUGACUAUGCGUUCUAUUAGCUGGUUGGUAUGGUAACGGCAUACCAAGGCUACGAUAGAUAGGGGUCCUGAGAGGGAGAUCCCCCACACUGGUACUGAGACACGGACCAGACUCCUACGGGAGGCAGCAGUGAGGAAUAUUGGACAAUGGAGGCAACUCUGAUCCAGCCAUGCCGCGUGUAGGAAGACUGCCCUAUGGGUUGUAAACUACUUUUAUAGAGGAAGAAACCGCUCUACGUGUAGAGCUCUGACGGUACUCUACGAAUAAGGAUCGGCUAACUCCGUGCCAGCAGCCGCGGUAAUACGGAGGAUCCAAGCGUUAUCCGGAAUCAUUGGGUUUAAAGGGUCCGUAGGCGGUUUAGUAAGUCAGUGGUGAAAGUUUUCGGCUCAACCGGAAAAUUGCCAUUGAUACUGCUAGACUUGAAUUAUUGUGAAGUGGUUAGAAUGUGUAGUGUAGCGGUGAAAUGCAUAGAUAUUACACAGAAUACCGAUUGCGAAGGCAGAUCACUAACAAUAUAUUGACGCUAAGGGACGAAAGCGUGGGUAGCGAACAGGAUUAGAUACCCUGGUAGUCCACGCCGUAAACGAUGGUUACUAGCUGUUCGAA